GAUGAACGCUAGCUACAGGCUUAACACAUGCAAGUCAAGGGGUAGCAGGGUAGCAAUACCGCUGACGACCGGCGCACGGGUGAGUAACACGUAUCCAACCUUCCCAUAACUCGGGGAUAGCCUUUCGAAAGAAAGAUUAAUACCCGAUAGUACUUAACAAAGGCAUCUUUGAUAAGUUAAAGAUUUAUUGGUUAUGGAUGGGGAUGCGUUCCAUUAGAUAGUUGGUGAGGUAACGGCUCACCAAGUCUUCGAUGGAUAGGGGUUCUGAGAGGAAGGUCCCCCACAUUGGUACUGAGACACGGACCAAACUCCUACGGGAGGCAGCAGUGAGGAAUAUUGGUCAAUGGGCGAGAGCCUGAACCAGCCAAGUAGCGUGCAGGAUGACGGCCCUAUGGGUUGUAAACUGCUUUUAUACAGGAAUAAAGUUAGCCACGUGUGGUUAUUUGUAGGUACUGUAUGAAUAAGGACCGGCUAAUUCCGUGCCAGCAGCCGCCGUAA
This 498-nucleotide ribosomal RNA is filed under the name uncultured bacterium. RNAcentral describes it as "partial 16S ribosomal RNA". It matches the Rfam family "Bacterial small subunit ribosomal RNA", at positions 28 to 523 of the family's 1533-position model. The record is from RNAcentral.